Molecule: long non-coding RNA, 290 nt
Filed under: Linum usitatissimum (flax)
Lineage: Eukaryota; Viridiplantae; Streptophyta; Magnoliopsida; Malpighiales; Linaceae
Description: long non-coding RNA (LUSI_LNC004013)
Source: RNAcentral
UCACUCCUUCCUUAGAUUUUGCUGCUUCUAACACUUACGCAUCUGUGGUUGUUGUCUUUCAGUUGUCCAGUACGAGGCACGCUAGAGAGUUGUAAUCAAGAGACCUAUGGUCUUGAGCAGUCUGCGGCAACCGAAGCUACAUUUUACAGAUAACUAGUCAUGUUAAGCCUUUGAGUAUUUCUGCAGCUUGUAAAAGAUAUUCCUAGACUUGAUGUCCUAGAAUGCUGGGCAAUGUGAACAUCCUGAUGUUAAUGGCAGUGUUUAUGGAAUGAGGGGAAAAUGUUUGUACU